Molecule: long non-coding RNA, 1777 nt
Organism: Oncorhynchus masou masou (cherry salmon)
Lineage: Eukaryota; Metazoa; Chordata; Actinopteri; Salmoniformes; Salmonidae
Exons: 2
Source: RefSeq, a predicted model, not a curated record
CAGAAGUGUGGUUUCGUCGGAUGGAGGCACCGUAGCUUUAUGGAUCUGGGCAAAACUGCUACAGACCUGAGCCCUUGGACCAUGCCUAAGGACUACCUGGCAUGAUGACUCCUUGCUGUCCCCAGUCCACCUGGCCGUGCUGCUGCUCCAGUUUCAACUGUUCUGCCUGCAGCUAUGGAAUCCUGACCUGUUCACCGGACGUGCUACCUGUCCCAAAUCUAUUAUUUGACCAUGCUGGUCAUUUAUGAACAUUUGAACAUCUUGGCCAUGUUCUGUUAUAAUCUCCACCCGGCACAGCCAGAAGAGGACUGGCAUUUCUAGGGAGUGUUUCCUAGCCAACAUUGCUUGCUGUUUGGGGUUUUUGGCUGGGUUUCUGUUCAGCACUUUGAGAUAUCAGCUGAUGUACGAAGGGCUAUAAUAAAUACAUUUGAUUUGAUUUGACCUCGAUCAGACACUAUAUCCUCAGGCACCCCGCAGUGCCGGAAGACGUGCGUAAACAAGGCCUCCGUAUUCUGUAGGGCUGUAGGGAGACCGGGCAGAGGGAGGAGACGGCAGGACUUAGAGGAAACGAUCCACAACGACCAGGAUCAUGGUAUUUCCCUGUGAUGGGGGAAGAUUGGUCAGGUAAUCUAUCAACAGGUGUGACCAUGGCCGCUGUGGAACGGGUAAGGGGUGUAACUUACCUCUGGGCAGGUGCCUAGGAGCCUUACACUGGGCACACACCGAGCAGGAGGAAACAUAAACCCUCACGUCCUUAGCCAAGGUAGGCCACCAGUACCUCCCGCUCAAACAGCGCACUGUCCGACCAUUGCCUGGAUGACCAGAGGAGGGUGACGUUUGGGCCCAAUAGAUCAACCGGUCAUGAACAGCAGACGGGACGUACAGACGCCCAGCAGGACAAUGGACGGGAGUGGGCUCUGUACAUAACGCCUGCUCAAUGUCCGUUUUCAGCUCCCACACUACCAGCGCCACCAGUCAGGAGGCGGGGAGUAUGGGAGUGAGAUCCAUGGGCUGCUCCUUUGUGUCAUACAGCUGGGACAAUGCCUUAACAUUCUGGGAGCCUGGUCUGUAGGAAAGGGUAAACACAAAAUGGGUGAAAAACAUGGCCCACCUUGCCUGGCGAGGGUUCAGUCUCCUCGCUGCCUGGAUGUACUCCAGAUUGUGGUGGCCAGUCCAGAUGAGAAAGGGGUGUCUAGCCUCCUCAAGCCAAUGUCUCCACGCCUUCAAGGUCUUGACUACAGCCAACAGCUCUCGGUCCCCCACAUCAUAGUUUCGCUCCGCCGGGCUGAGCUUCUUCGAGAAGAAGGCACAGGGGCGGAGCUUCGGUGGCGUACCCGAGCGCUGAGAGAGCACAGCUCCUAUAUGUUAAGGGAUUUUUUAUCAAUAAUGACUAAUUAUGCAUACAUUUCAGUCAGGACUGACUAAUCAGAAUACUAUUAUGUUACUGUAUAGAUGUAUGAAUUUCCUCUUAACCCUAGUACUGAAUAUAAUGUGUGUAAAUAUAAUCAAGAAGUAGAACAAUGUCUGUCUGUUCCUUGGUAGAAAUGAGUGAACUUAUAGCCAGACUGGCUAGAAUGCUUAUCUACUCAGGCAGACCUUGGCUUGCGUCGUAAAUUAUCUUAGUAGGGAGAGACGAUGUGGGAAGGCUUGAGAACUAUACUGCCAUUGUACUGCUGGUUGAUGAGACGGUUAAUGACGUAAUUUUCAGUUUAUAACCUGUGGUAAAAUUUAUCAUAAGUAGUACUCUCGAGAAUAAACGCUGCUGGUUGAUUUUUAA